Molecule: small RNA, 27 nt
Filed under: Bombyx mori (domestic silkworm)
Lineage: Eukaryota; Metazoa; Arthropoda; Insecta; Lepidoptera; Bombycidae
Description: ovarian small RNA-28651
Source: RNAcentral
UCGCCAAAAACUCCUGCCAUUCACAGC